Molecule: long non-coding RNA, 416 nt
Organism: Amphimedon queenslandica
Lineage: Eukaryota; Metazoa; Porifera; Demospongiae; Haplosclerida; Niphatidae
Exons: 2
Source: RefSeq, a predicted model, not a curated record
UGUAUGAGAGUACAGAACUAGUUAGACUCUGUUUACUCAAUAGUAUGGAGUGUAACUUAAUACUGUUUGCAAACAGUAUAAUUACACAAUAGUAUGAUGUCAUCAACACUAUAACAUGCAUAGUGCUAGUUAGUCUCAAUAGCAUGAUGCAUCAUUUCCUGUUGCUCUAGCUUGUCUGACAUGGCAGAACCUCUUAAUGGAGUGUGUGUAGCAUGUAAAGAAGAUAGUACUGUGUACAAUGUCGUCUUAUUUGAGUGUAUGGAGUAUCAUUGUCUAUGUGACUCUUGUAUGAACUCUGAUGAAUUAAAAGGCUGUCCUAUUCACAAAUUUUCAAAGAGAAGAACAAGUUCCAGAAAAUUUUAAUUGUUUUGAUGAAUUAUUUCAUUACAUGAUAUAUAGAUUUAUAUAAAAAUCAA